AUGAAGAAGAGACAAAGCGGGGGACUUUCUUGCAUCCCCGUGUUCAAGCCCACAUUUGCCGACCGAAAGGCUUUUUUGUUUCGGAGUGGCAGUCGUAGGGAAUGCAGAAGAAAAUUCAGAUUCGCUACUUGUUCGGGUUUAACUGAAGGUGUGCAAGUUACAGGGAAAGUGGAUGAGAGGUGCCCACACGCAGAACGAUCCGCCCCGUUCCGCUGGAAAGGGGGGUGUAGCAGGGGCACGGCGGGGAGGGAACCUCUGGCGCCCGCCCCCCGCCUCCGGACUCGCUCUGCUGCCGCCAGUCGAGGCGGCGCGACGGGCCUGGGCACGGGGCAGCGCAUCCCUGGCCGGCGUGCCUGCUGCCCUGUGGUAACCCCGGGACCGCGCUCCGCCGGGGUGAACGACCGCCGCCGCCGGAGAGCGACGGGCGCUGCUCGCUCUGCCGGCGGCCGCAGCCACCCCUCAGCCGUCACCACAUCGCCUUAUCGCUUAGCGACACCGCGCGGGCCCCGCGAUUGGCAGGGCCGCGCCCCCGCCCACGUGCCCCUUCCUCCGCAUUGGGUGCCGUCCCGGGAUUGCGCGUCCGGCCCCGCGUCCUUUCUCUUUGUGCGCCGCGGGUGCUGCGCGAUCCAACCGCGCUUGGACCGGUGCCCACGGCGCCCUCGCCUCAGUCGCCGAGCCACGGUGCCGGCACGGCGCGGUCGUACGCCCCACGGUGUACCUACCCGCGGGGAGGUGGGAGAGGGACACGACAAGGUCCGCGCCCACGGGGGGGUCGGCGCUGCCCAGUCCCCGGCCAAGCCAGGCCAAAGCCAGGCACGCCCGCAGCGCCUAGCCUUUCCCGGCCUCCAGUACAGGGCGGGCGGGGCGCGAGAGCUUGGCCCCGUGCCGCGGGCAAGCGGGCCCGCCUGUGUCCGCCCCGGCCUGGCCAGGGCCCCCUCCUCCCGUGGAGUGGCUCCGGCGGGCAGGGGCUGGCAUCAUCCCGGGUCUGACCGGGGCAGCCCUGCCCCGACUCUCAUUGGACUGCGGCGAGGCGUAAACUGUCAGCCCAUGUGGCGUGGCCGCUGGAGGUGGCGACUGCUUAAAUAG
RNAcentral lists this long non-coding RNA (1086 nucleotides) under Taeniopygia guttata (zebra finch). RNAcentral describes it as "lncRNA (ENSTGUG00000022553.1)". The record is from RNAcentral. Lineage: Eukaryota; Metazoa; Chordata; Aves; Passeriformes; Estrildidae.